AAAAAUGAGUGGAAAUUUGGUUUAAUGCUAGUUUGUUCUGCUGCAUGGAACAUAUUCCACCAUGGAAUUUUACUUCCAAUUCCUUAUGCCUAUUGACUUGACAAGUUUCUUUCACAUUAUUUGAUAGUUAUAGUAGUUACUUUGCUAAGCCUAGUUCUAUUUGUCUCUAGCUGCUGGUCAUAAGUCUUACAUAAGUUAAAUGCUAUUAAAAGGUACUGGACGAGUGUCAGAAGAACUUUGGCAACUCUUGGAGAGCUGUAAAGGAAGAUACUACUCAAGCAUGGCCAUAUUUGACUGAAGGUUUAACAAAAUUUCAGUAAUCAUGCGGACGAGUGGGAUGCCCAUAUGGGAAUGUAUUGCCUGGGAUGUAAACUCGCAACACUCUUUUACGUGUCCCCAGCACGCUUGACUUGACAGAGUGGAGGCUUAGCUGUAUCAUGUCCUCUAGCCUUCACACCAUGGAGGGAAAACUGAAUCGAAUGCCAUGAUAUAAUACUCCUUCAUUCUUGUCGUUGUUGAGUUAGUUGAUGUGCUGACCCUUCCAUUGUCUUACAUAACUGCUUUUGCUCA
This is a non-coding RNA of Musa acuminata subsp. malaccensis (wild Malaysian banana), 570 nucleotides long. The record is from RefSeq and is a predicted model, not a curated record. Lineage: Eukaryota; Viridiplantae; Streptophyta; Magnoliopsida; Zingiberales; Musaceae.